GCUAGAUGUUUUCGUAUUUGCAGCCGUAGCAACAGUCCAUCCUGGUGGCAGGCAGCCAAUUGGGCUCAGUCGGUGUGAACAUUUGCAUGACAGUGACUCCAAUUGUGUGAGCUCCUCUAAAUGAGGAGGCAAAUUCUGUAGACCAACCUGAAGAAGAGUCUUGAUAGGGAACCCAGUAUUUCACCAUUCAAGCAGGUGGUGUUAAUUUUGUGCGCACCAAAUGUGACAGCCAUUGUGAAGCAGGUCUACGCUGGAUGAAAUGAGAAGUGCACAGAUCCACAAAAACAGAUGUGACCUGAGGAUCAUCUGCUGCGCAUGCCAGAGCUCUAAACAUCUGCACACCUGCCUGACAUAUUUUGUAGUAUUCCCAAGUUUUAUCAUAAGAAAUAAUUUAAUUUUUAAUCUAAAGUGCAUGCACAUAUAAACAUGGCGGUCUUCUUACUGGGAUACUUUGAUAAGGCUAGCCUCAUUUGUUGGCAAAUUUAGUUGGUAUAAAUGGGCUAACGGACAAUAAAGGUCACAUAUUAUGAAAAA
This is a long non-coding RNA of Acanthopagrus latus (yellowfin seabream), 534 nucleotides long. RefSeq lists it as uncharacterized. Lineage: Eukaryota; Metazoa; Chordata; Actinopteri; Spariformes; Sparidae. The transcript is spliced from 3 exons. The record is from RefSeq and is a predicted model, not a curated record.